CCAAGAAAAAUAAAAGGAUUCAACAAUAUCCAAUUACGGCCGGGGAAGGGAGAGUGAAUUGACUUUGCAAGUGUACAUGACCGGCCAAAGCGGCAACAUAUCGGGGGGAAGAAAAAAAAUGAAAAGGACGAGGCAUGAUUUGUUAUUUACUUUAAUAAUGUCACUUCUCCCUUGAUAUGAUCGACUAAAAGAAUUGAUUUGAUGAUUUUAUAACAAUACAAGGUAUUUUAAAUUUUAGGGCACGUUUGAUUCGUGAUUGAAAUCAGAACCAAAAAUGUUAGAAUGAGAAUCGAAAGAUCUAUAUCCUCUGACAUGUUUGAU
Molecule: long non-coding RNA, 321 nt
Filed under: Elaeis guineensis (African oil palm)
Lineage: Eukaryota; Viridiplantae; Streptophyta; Magnoliopsida; Arecales; Arecaceae
Description: long non-coding RNA (EGUI_LNC026699)
Source: RNAcentral